AGGAUUCGUCCAAUUGAAGCAGAGGACAGUGGCGGACGGGUGAGUAACGCGUGAGGAACCUGCCUUUCAGAGGGGGACAACGGCUGGAAACGGCCGCUAAUACCGCAUGACAUAUCCGGAUGGCAUCGUCUGGAUAUCAAAGGAGAAAUCCGCUGAAGGGUGGGCUCGCGUCCGAUUAGCUAGUUGGUGAGGUAACGGCCCACCAAGGCGACGAUCAGUAGCCGGACUGAGAGGUUGAACGGCCACAUUGGGACUGAGAUACGGCCCAGACUCC
This 274-nucleotide ribosomal RNA is filed under the name uncultured Oscillospiraceae bacterium. Its description in RNAcentral is "partial 16S ribosomal RNA". It matches the Rfam family "Bacterial small subunit ribosomal RNA", at positions 71 to 339 of the family's 1533-position model. Lineage: Bacteria; Bacillati; Bacillota; Clostridia; Eubacteriales; Oscillospiraceae. The record is from RNAcentral.